Molecule: non-coding RNA, 790 nt
Organism: Paramuricea clavata
Lineage: Eukaryota; Metazoa; Cnidaria; Anthozoa; Malacalcyonacea; Plexauridae
Source: the annotation of a GenBank genome assembly
UCGAAAACAAACGAAAAGCCAACUCAGUGAAUUUAAGAAGACUCUUAAUCAAAUAACCGAGAAAGUGAUGAAAGUUGAGUCCGCCAUUGAUGCUAUUGAGCAAUAUAGCUACAAGUACAAUGUAAAGAUAAUUAAUUGGUGUUCCUCAAACUUCAACUAAUGAAUCAUCUGAAUUCACUGCAAUGCUGUGUUUAGAAAUGUCCAAAGCAAUAGGAGUUCAAGGUCUAACAAUUCAAGACAUCGAUACUGCACAUCUCUACAAAUGACGGCAGCAACCCUGUAAUUUGCAAAUUUACCAGACGAUUGGCCAAAGAAGCUGUAAUUAAUGUCUAAGUGAAAGGAGAUUAAGAAAGUUAUCUGCUCAUCGCUUGCAAUAUUUUCCCGACAGCAUCUCUCAAUGUAAUUGCAAUGGGAAUAUAUGAUCAUGGGCGUACCGGAAGGAAAAAAUUAGGGUGGCGGAAGGAAAAUUGCCCGACUUUUCGGGAUUUUGCCCGACUAGUACCAAAAAAUUUUUUCCGGAAAAUUUUUUUUGGCGACCUCCCCCCCCCCCUGUCGCCAAAAAAAUUUCGGUCAGUGUACCAUUUUAGGGGUCAAAAAAUUUUUCCGGACAACCAAUAUUUUUCGGAACAUACAGGGUGUCUCAAAAAAACCCAAAAUCAUUGAAAUUGACGUAUUGUUCGAUAUUCAAUGCCCUAGCACUAAGUUAAUCCCACGAGUGCAUAAAAGAUUGACAUAACUGCUAUAAUGAAUGGUAAUACUCAGCGUAAACUUGUUAUGUCAGGCAUAAAGU